Non-coding RNA from Xyrichtys novacula (pearly razorfish), 923 nucleotides. The record is from the annotation of a GenBank genome assembly. NCBI's taxonomy places the organism in Eukaryota, Metazoa, Chordata, Actinopteri, Labriformes, Labridae.
UGAACUUGAGUUGUGUGUUUUUGAACUUGAGUUUGUGGUGUUUGUUGAACUUGAGUUUGUGUUGUGUUUGAACUUGAGUUUGUGGUGUUUGUUGAACUUGAGUUUGUGUUGUGUUUGAACUUGAGUUUGUGCGUGUUUUUGAACUUGAGUUUCUGUUGUUUUUGAACUUGAGGUUGUGGAAAUUGUUAAACUUGAGUUUCAGGUGUUGGUUGAACUUGAGUUUGUUGUUUGUUGAAUUUGAGUUUGUGAUUUUUGAACUUGAGUUUGUGUGUGUUUUUGAACUUGAGUUUGGUUUUUGAACUUGAGUGUUGUUGAACUUGAGUUUGUGUUUGACUUGAGUUUGUGGUGUUUUUAACUUUUUUUGUUUGAACUUGAGUUUGGGUUUGUUGAACUUGAGUUUGGUUGUGUUUUUUGAAUUUGUGUUCAUGUUUGAACUUGAGUUGUGGUUUUUUGAGUUUGUGUGUUUGAUUUGAGUUUGUUUUUGAACUUGAGGUUGUUGUUUUAAUUGAGUUUGGUUUGUUGAACUUGAGUUUGUGUUUGUUGAACUUGAGUUUGUGGUGUUUUUGAACUUGAGUUUGUGUGUUUUUGAACUUGAGUUGAAUAUUUAAAUUGAGAAUUGGUGUUGGUUGAACUUGAGUUGUGUUGUUUUGAACUUGAGUUUGUGUUGUUUUUGAACUUGAGUUUGUGUUUUUUGAACUUGGUGUUUUUGAACUUGAGUUGUGGUGUUUUUGAACUUUGUGUGUUUUUGAACUUGAGGUUUGGAAUUUUAAACUUGAGAUUGGGUUUGGUUGAACUUGAGUUUUGUGUUUUUGAACUUGUAGUAUUGUUUCGUGUUUGAACUUGAGUUUGUGGUGUUUGUUGAACUUGAGUUUGUGUGUUUUGAACUUGAGUUUGUGGUGUUUUUGAACUUGAGUUUGUGUGUU